UGGCUUCUAGUUUCUUCCAUGGUGUUGUCAGUGAUGAUCUUAUGUUGCAGAAUUAAUGCCCUUUGUGGGUGGGAUUAUAAAGUUUACAGACAAAAAUAUUGUUGUUUCUUUUCUUGCCUUGUUAUUUGCUUGAUUACUUUUAAUUAAAUGAUUUAUCCCUUGGGUCCUCUCCAGGCGAUGUAUAAUUAAAGACUUCUGUACAUUGAGAGGAGUACUCAUUUGAUAUAUAAAGGUGUUGAAAGAUACUUAUGAAGGGGCAGUUAAUGUUUGAAUGGUUGGAAUUAACAUUAAAGAUUUUCCUAUCAUAGUUAGAUUGUACUUAGGAAUGACCUGGAGCCCUUAUCUUCUUUCCUCUGGUAAUAGAGGAUUGACAAAGAAAUCUAAGUGAAUGAUUGGUGGUGAAUGUUGGGUGUUGGAGUUGGACACAAUAUGCACACAAGAUUACAGUGAUAGAUAGAUGUAUGGAAUAUAAAGAUGGACUGGAAUGGAAUGAAUGUGUUUGCAGGGUGGUGUUGUUGCCUGCUGUUACCAUCUAAAGAUUGUUUGGUUUACUCGAGUGCCAUCCAUUUGUCGUGAUAUUGUUUGAAUUUUGUUUGGAUUAUUUUUCCAAAUACAAAUAAUAUCACUAGCUCAAAUGCACACAUAUGCAGCAACUUUUAAAUAAGUGAAAUAACUUUUAACAUUUUGCAUGGAUUUAUCUUGGAAUGAUGAAUUAUCUAUUUUGACCCUGUGCUCUGAAUUUUUAGCAUCUCUUGUGAUUAGUCUUAGAUGCUAUUGUUUGGUCAAUGCUAUGUGGACAUCCUUGUAAAUUAUUCUUGUUAAUAUACCUUUGAAAUUGUUCUACUAUA
Molecule: unclassified non-coding RNA, 848 nt
Filed under: Hevea brasiliensis (rubber tree)
Lineage: Eukaryota; Viridiplantae; Streptophyta; Magnoliopsida; Malpighiales; Euphorbiaceae
Source: RNAcentral